This 570-nucleotide ribosomal RNA is filed under the name uncultured beta proteobacterium. RNAcentral describes it as "bacterial SSU rRNA". It matches the Rfam family "Bacterial small subunit ribosomal RNA", at positions 356 to 919 of the family's 1533-position model. The record is from RNAcentral. Lineage: Bacteria; Pseudomonadati; Pseudomonadota; Betaproteobacteria.
GGGGAAUUUUGGCCAAUGGGGGAAACCCUGAUCCAGCCAUUCCGCGUGUGCGAUGAAGGCCUUCGGGUUGUAAAGCACUUUUGGCAGGAAAGAAAUCGCACAAAUUAAUACUUUGUGUGGAUGACGGUACCUGCAGAAUAAGCACCGGCUAACUACGUGCCAGCAGCCGCGGUAAUACGUAGGGUGCAAGCGUUAAUCGGAAUUACUGGGCGUAAAGCGUGCGCAGGCGGUUCGGAAAGAGAGGUGUGAAAUCCCAGGGCUUAACCUUGGAACUGCACUUUUAACUCCCGAGCUAGAGUAUGUCAGAGGGGGGUGGAAUUCCGCGUGUAGCAGUGAAAUGCGUAGAUAUGCGGAGGAACACCGAUGGCGAAGGCAGCCCCCUGGGAUAAUACUGACGCUCAUGCACGAAAGCGUGGGGAGCAAACAGGAUUAGAUACCCUGGUAGUCCACGCCCUAAACGAUGUCAACUAGCUGUUGGGGGCUUCGGCCCUUAGUAGCGCAGCUAACGCGUGAAGUUGACCGCCUGGGGAGUACGGUCGCAAGAUUAAAACUCAAAUGAAUUUGGACGGG